CAGAUUGAACGCUGGCGGCAUGCCUAACACAUGCAAGUCGAACGGGAGUAGCAAUACUCUAGUGGCGGACGGGUGAGGAAUACGUAGGAAUUUGCCCUUAAGUGGGGGAUAACCCGGGGAAACCCGGAUUAAUACCGCAUGACCUCGAAAGAGCAAAGUGGGGGAUCGCAAGACCUCACGCUUUUGGAGAAGCCUACGUCGGAUUAGCUAGUUGGUGAGGUAAUGGCUCACCAAGGCGACGAUCCGUAACUGGUCUGAGAGGAUGAUCAGUCACACCGGAACUGAGACACGGUCCGGACUCCUACGGGAGCAGCAGUGGGGAAUAUUGGACAAUGGGCGCAAGCCUGAU
RNAcentral lists this ribosomal RNA (349 nucleotides) under uncultured soil bacterium. RNAcentral's name for it is "bacterial SSU rRNA". It matches the Rfam family "Bacterial small subunit ribosomal RNA", at positions 25 to 387 of the family's 1533-position model. The record is from RNAcentral.